GUGAAGCGGCAACAGCUCAAAUUUGAAAUCUGGCCCCCCGCGGGCCCGAGUUGUACUUUGGAGAGGACGCUUCUGGCGCGGCGCCGUCCGAGUUCCCUGGAACGGGACGCCGGAGAGGGUGAGAGCCCCGUACGGGCGGCCGCCUAGCCUCUGCGAAGCUCCUUCGACGAGUCGAGUAGUUUGGGAAUGCUGCUCAAAAUGGGAGGUAAAUUUCUUCUAAAGCUAAAUACCGGCCAGAGACCGAUAGCGCACAAGUAGAGUGAUCGAAAGAUGAAAAGCACUUUGAAAAGAGGGUCAAACAGUACGUGAAAUUGUUGAAAGGGAAGCGCCUGUGGCCAGACUUGCGCCCCGCGGACCACCCGGCGCCUCGCGCGCCGGGGCACGCCAGCGGGGCGCAGGCCAGCAUCGGCUCUCUCGGGGGGACAAAGGCCGCGGGAACGUAGCGCCCUCGCGGCGUAUUAUAGCCCGCGGCGCCAUGCCCCCGGGGGGGCCGAGGACCGCGCUCCGGCAAGGAUGCUGGCGUAAUGGCCACCGGCGACCCGUCUUGAAACACGGACCAAGGAGUCAAGCAUUGGGGCGAGUGUCUGGGUGGCAAGCCCGCACGCGGAAUGAAAGUGAACGCAGGUGGGAGCUUCGGCGCACCACCGACCGAUCCUGAUGUCCUCGGAUGGAUUUGAGUAGGAGCCCCGCCGCU
RNAcentral lists this ribosomal RNA (694 nucleotides) under Harringtonia lauricola. Its description in RNAcentral is "eukaryotic LSU rRNA". It matches the Rfam family "Eukaryotic large subunit ribosomal RNA", at positions 93 to 810 of the family's 3401-position model. Lineage: Eukaryota; Fungi; Ascomycota; Sordariomycetes; Ophiostomatales; Ophiostomataceae. The record is from RNAcentral.